AACCGCACCGGUGGCCUAGUGGUUAGAGGGUCCGCCUCGAAUGCGGGAGGUCGUGGGUUCAAUCCCCUGUCGAGUUA
Potamilus streckersoni is the source of this 77-nucleotide non-coding RNA. The record is from the annotation of a GenBank genome assembly. Lineage: Eukaryota; Metazoa; Mollusca; Bivalvia; Unionida; Unionidae.